Molecule: ribosomal RNA, 397 nt
Filed under: uncultured bacterium
Lineage: Bacteria
Description: partial 16S ribosomal RNA
Rfam family: Bacterial small subunit ribosomal RNA
Source: RNAcentral
AUACGAAGGGUGCAAGCGUUACUCGGAAUUACUGGGCGUAAAGCGCGCGUAGGCGGUUGUUUAAGUCUGUCGUGAAAGCCCUGGGCUCAACCUGGGAAUGGCGAUGGAAACUGGGCGACUAGAGUGUGGCAGAGGGUAGUGGAAUUCCUGGUGUAGCAGUGAAAUGCGUAGAGAUCAGGAGGAACAUCCGUGGCGAAGGCGACUGCCUGGGCCAACACUGACACUGAGGCACGAAAGCGUGGGGAGCAAACAGGAUUAGAUACCCUGGUAGUCCACGCCCUAAACGAUGCGAACUGGAUGUUGGGUGCAAUUUGGCACGCAGUAUCGAAGCUAACGCGUUAAGUUCGCCGCCUGGGGAGUACGGUCGCAAGACUGAAACUCAAAUGAAUUGGCGGGG